UGAGGGUCUCGAGUUUACCCAGGUUGC
RNAcentral lists this non-coding RNA (27 nucleotides) under Mus musculus (house mouse). The record is from RNAcentral. Lineage: Eukaryota; Metazoa; Chordata; Mammalia; Rodentia; Muridae.